Molecule: ribosomal RNA, 484 nt
Filed under: uncultured bacterium
Lineage: Bacteria
Description: partial 16S ribosomal RNA
Rfam family: Bacterial small subunit ribosomal RNA
Source: RNAcentral
AUUGAACGCUGGCGGCAGGCCUAACACAUGCAAGUCGAGCGGAUGAAGGGAGCUUGCUCCUGGAUUCAGCGGCGGACGGGUGAGUAAUGCCUAGGAAUCUGCCUGGUAGUGGGGGAUAACGUCCGGAAACGGGCGCUAAUACCGCAUACGUCCUGAGGGAGAAAGUGGGGGAUCUUCGGACCUCACGCUAUCAGAUGAGCCUAGGUCGGAUUAGCUAGUUGGUGGGGUAAAGGCCUACCAAGGCGACGAUCCGUAACUGGUCUGAGAGGAUGAUCAGUCACACUGGAACUGAGACACGGUCCAGACUCCUACGGGAGGCAGCAGUGGGGAAUAUUGGACAAUGGGCGAAAGCCUGAUCCUGCCAUGCCGCGUGUGUGAAGAAGGUCUUCGGAUUGUAAAGCACUUUAAGUUGGGAGGAAGGGCAGUAAGUUAAUACCUUGCUGUUUUGACGUUACCAACAGAAUAAGCACCGGCUAACUUCGUG